UACGAAGGGGGCUAGCGUUGCUCGGAAUUACUGGGCGUAAAGCGCACGUAGGCGGCUUUCUAAGUCGGGGGUGAAAUCCUGGAGCUCAACUCCAGAACUGCCUUCGAUACUGGAGCUUGAGUCCGGGAGAGGUGAGUGGAACUGCGAGUGUAGAGGUGAAAUUCGUAGAUAUUCGCAAGAACACCAGUGGCGAAGGCGGCUCACUGGCCCGGUACUGACGCUGAGGUGCGAAAGCGUGGGGAGCAAACA
RNAcentral lists this ribosomal RNA (249 nucleotides) under uncultured bacterium. Its description in RNAcentral is "partial 16S ribosomal RNA". It matches the Rfam family "Bacterial small subunit ribosomal RNA", at positions 524 to 774 of the family's 1533-position model. The record is from RNAcentral.